This 184-nucleotide unclassified non-coding RNA is filed under the name uncultured Chaetothyriales. RNAcentral describes it as "sequence contains ITS1". The record is from RNAcentral. Lineage: Eukaryota; Fungi; Ascomycota; Eurotiomycetes; Chaetothyriales.
CUGAGUUAGGGUCUUCUAGGCCCGACCUCCAACCCUUUGUCUACUUGACCUCUGUUGCUUCGGCGGACCCGUCUCGCAAGAGACCGCCGGAGGGUUCACCCCCUCUGGCCCGUUGUCCGUCGACGGCCCCCAUAAAACUCUUGAUUAAACGUGUCAUGUCUGAAGAAUAAAUUAAAUAAAAGCA